Molecule: long non-coding RNA, 4921 nt
Organism: Ostrinia nubilalis (European corn borer)
Lineage: Eukaryota; Metazoa; Arthropoda; Insecta; Lepidoptera; Crambidae
Exons: 2
Source: RefSeq, a predicted model, not a curated record
AAGAAACUAGUUUCUUAAUUACUGACUAUCUUCGUAAACGCGACUAUUGUUUAUUAUUCACGAUCUUCUAAAAUGUCAGUAUUAUAAAAUUAAACUUGCUUCGUAAAUGACACUGAUGUGUCAGAUCGGAAAUAAACGUGAUUUGCAAGAAAUAAUUUAUUGUAAAGAUUUUAAAAAGGAAUUGACAAUUUAAAUAAUAAACUUUGAAUGUCGUUUCUUUGUUUUCAGAGCAACACAAUCUUUUAAAUUGUACAAUUCCCUAUAAACGUCUUAUAAAACGACAUUUAUAGUUAGAAAUAAGAUAAAUAUGGAGAAACUACGAUUUAAAUUUGAAGUUCAAGGGUCGGCAGAUGGAAAAACCAAUGUGAUCUGCAUAACCUCUAUCGAGACACCAGACGGCCGUGUUUACGAGAUUCCAGACGAGUUAAAACCAGCAAGUAAGCACAAUGUCAUAUUAACUACGGAAUUAUUUACGAAAAUUAAGAAUACGCUUAAAAAGAGACAUCAGACACGAUCCUUAUGGAUCCCUCUUAAUACGGAACUGAGAAAAACAUAUCUAGAUGAGGGUGAAAAUGUGCAAUUUGGGAACCAAUAUUUGGAUGAGACCACAGGAGAGGCAAAUGCUUCAUAUAAAAAUUCUAGUAUGUCAGAAAAUAAAAACCUAGGAAAAACCGCAGAACGGUUUGUAAUCGAAAAAUUUUCAAACAAAUCAUCCAGCGCUGACCAAUGGAUAAAUGAUUUCGAGAGUGAAUGUGAAAGAUUCCAAAUUCGACACGAUGAAGAGAAAAUUGGGAUUCUUAAACACCUCCUAGAAAAACAAUGUUUGGAUUGGUAUGCCAGUAUGCUAAUAAAGAUGAGUAUGAAUUCUGACUGGGCAAAAUGGAAGAAUGCCUUUUGUGAAACUUAUGGUAAUAAAGGUUGGUCUCAAAUUAAAUACGCAUUUAUUUUUAAAUAUCAGAGUGGAUCUUUAUUAGAAUAUGCUACAAAAAAGGAAAGGCUAUUAUUAGAGGCCAAUAAGAACAUUGACACGAAAACCCUGAUAACUCUUAUUGUCAUAGGAUUACCAGAUUAUGUAAUGGACAAAAUUGAUAAAGAAACUAUUAAAACAACGGAAAACCUUUAUAAUGAAAUAGGGAAACAUGAAUCAUUGAUUAAAAAGAAAUACAACAACAACUACAGGAAGAAUACAUACGAAAAGAAUAAUUAUGAAUAUAAAGGAAAGAUGGAGAAUGAAAAAAAACCAUGCAAGAUAUGUGAAAAAUUAAAUAAAGGUUCUCGAUUUCAUCCGGAAGAAAAAUGCUGGUUCAAACAAACAGAAGAAUAUAAUCAAAAGAGAAAUAGUGGUAGAACCAUAAACAAUACAGUAUUAGAUGUGGAACUAAGUAAUGAAGAAAAAAAAAACGAGUAGUAACACCAUUAAUUAAAAUUAAACUAUUAUUAAAUUCACAACUAGAAAUAUCCGGAAUAUAUGAUUCUGGUUCAAAUAUUUCUAUAAUUAACUCAAAAUUAGUAAGAUGGAGUGGAGAAGAAGAAGAUGAUUCAAAAAGAGAUAGUUUAAUCACGAUUAAUGGUGUUAAAAAGACAAUUGGCUUAACAACUAUUAAAAUAAAAAUAUUUGAUAUAGAAGAUAAUGCAGAUGUCUAUAUUAUAGACGGAGAAGAUUUCAAAUAUGAUUUCCUAAUUGGAUUAAAUCUCAUACAGCAAUUUCGAUUGAUUCAAGAUGAGAAUAUGAAAAUUACACAGAAGAAAGAGAAAAUAAAAGAAGAAAAAGAAUUUAGAAAUGAUAAAGAGAAAAAUAAAGAAUACCAAAACCCAGGUUCGGUGAAUUUCAAUGAACAUAUAAAAGAAGAAGAUUUCAAAAUAAGUAUGGGAAAUUUGAAUACACAACAAGAAGCAGAAAUACAUAAACUGAUAGAUAAAUAUAAAUCAAUCUUUGCAAAAGAUAAAUAUGAUAUUGGUACAGUAGAAAAAUAUGAAGCACGCAUUGAUUUACUAAUGGACAAAUACUGCAGCAAAAGGCCAUAUAGAUGUUCAGUAGAGGACAAAAAAGAAAUAGAAGAACAAGUUGCAAAACUUCUUGACAAAAAGCUAAUAGAAGAAUCUUAUAGUCCUUUUGCAGCACCAGUAACGUUAGCUUUCAAAAAAGAAGACAAUAGAAAAUCAAGAUUAUGUAUUGACUUUAGAGACCUGAAUAAGAUAGUCGUUCCACAAGCUCAACCAUUUCCAGUCAUUGAUGAUCUAGUAGUUAAGACAAGAAACUCAAGAUAUUUUACGACACUUGAUAUCAACUCAGCAUUUUGGUCAAUCCCGCUAAGAAUUGAAGAUAGAAAGAAAACUGCGUUUGUGACACAAGAAGGUCAUUUUCAAUGGACGUGUUUACCUUUCGGUCUGAAGACGUCACCAGCCAUAUUUCAAAGGAUACUUAGUAACAUAUUAAGGAGAUAUAAACUCACGGAUUUUGCAGUUAAUUACAUAGACGAUAUUUUAAUAUUUUCAAAAACAUUUUCAGAACAUAUUGAACAUAUUACACAAUUAUUAGAUGCUAUAAAAACAGAGGGAUUUAGACUUAAAUUUACAAAAUGUACAUUUGCUUCAAAUUCAGUGAAAUACCUCGGUCAUAUAAUACAUAACAAUACAGUGCGCCCAAUAAGAGAUAAUUUAAUAUCAAUUAGAGAUUUUCCAAUACCAAAAUCACAAAAAAAUAUCAGACAAUUUUUAGGAAAAGUAAACUUCUACCACGAAUAUAUUCCAAAUAGUACUAUACUUUUAGAACCUCUACAUAAAUUACUAAGAAAAAAUCAAAAAUUUAUUUGGUCUGCAGAGUGUCAACAAUCAUUUGAAAGUGUGAAAAAGUUAUUAUGCUCACAGCCUAUAUUAGAAAUAUUUGAUCAAAAUUUGCCAAUUGAAAUAUAUACAGACGCAUCUUUAAAUGGUAUUGGAGCAGUGCUAAAACAAACACAACCGAACGGAAAUAAAAAACCAGUUGCUUACUUUUCAAAAAAACUAAAUGAAACACAAAAGAAAAAGAAAGCAGUUUAUUUAGAAUGUUUAGCAAUAAAAGAAGCCAUUAGAUACUGGCAAUAUUGGCUAAUAGGUAAAUCGUUUACUGUAUAUUCAGACCAUAAACCAUUGGAAAAUUUAAAUAUUAAGUCGAGGACAGAUGAGGAAUUAGGAGAAUUAACAUUUUAUUUGUCACAGUAUGAUUUUAAAAUUAAAUACGCACCAGGGAAAGAAAAUAUAGAAGCAGAUUGCUUAAGCAGGAACCCAGUUUUAUAUGCUAAUGAGGAUACAGAUGAACAAUUAAAAAUUAUAAAUAUGAUAACGUUAAAUGAUAUAAUUACAGAUCAGGGAGAUAAUGAAUACAUACAAAAUAAUAAAACAAAAUUAGUGUUGAAAAAUAAUGUCUUUUACAAAAAAGGGAAAAAACAGGAAAAAAUAAUUUUAACAGAAAAAUACAGCAAAGAAUUAAUAAAAAAAGUUCAUGAGAAUAUGUGUCAUCUAGGUGUAAAACAAAUGCAAAACAUAAUUAGUACGUCAUAUACAGCAAAUAACUUAACAAAAAAUAUAACAGAAUGUUGUAAAACUUGUGAUAUAUGUAUUAAAAAUAAAUCAAGAGGACAAAAAAAUUAUGGUUUAAUGUCACAAUUAGGUCCGGCCACAAAACCUUUUGAAAUAGUCUCAAUAGACACGAUUGGAGGUUUUGGAGGGUCACGAUCAACAAAAAAAUAUUUACAUCUUCUUGUAGACCACUUUUCACGAUAUGCUUAUAUUGUUACGUCUAAAACUCAAAAUGCUAAUGAUUUCAUAAAAUUAAUUAAUAGUGUACCAGAUUCAGAUUCAAUUAUGUUUCUACUCUCUGACCAAUACCCGGGAAUCAAUUCUAAGGAAUUUAAAACUUUUUUAAAUGAAAAAUCAAUACAAAUGAUCUUCACUGCAGUAAAUACUCCCUUUUCUAAUGGUCUAAACGAAAGACUAAAUCAAACACUUGUAAAUAAGAUAAGAUGUAAAAUAAAUGAAAGAAAAAAUAAAUUAGCUUGGACUACUGCUGCACACAUUUGUGUGGAAAAUUAUAACAACACGGAACAUACAGUUACAGGUUUUGCACCAAAAUACAUUUUGGACGGUACAAAUAUUUCAUUACUGCCAGAAGAACUAAAAAAAGAUAUAUCUGAAGAUGAAUGGAUUAGGGAUAGGAAAAUAGCAUUGGAAAAUUCAAAAAUAAACCAUACAUAUAAUAAACAAUUAUUCGAUAAAAAUAGAAUACAAAUAGAUUUUCACAUAGGAGAUAUGGUAUAUGUUGAAAAUGGAAAUAAACUCAAUAGAAAAAAAUUAGAUGAACUAAAAAUUGGUCCCUUUAAAAUAAUCGAAAAAAUAUCAAAUUCAUUAUACAAAAUUGAUUCAGGACAUAAAAAGACAGAAUCAAACCUCUUUCACAUUUCAAAGAUUAUACCAAUACCAACAAAAACUAAGUAAAUAAGUAUAAAAUAGAUACAUAAUAUAUAUAUAAAUGUUUAAGUAACAUAGGUAUUAGCUUAUUAAUCUUUAUUGUAAAUGAAAAUUUUAGCAAAAAUUUUCUCUGUCGUGGGGCGGAGAUGUAAAGAAACUAGUUUCUUAAUUACUGACUAUCUUCGUAAACGCGACUAUUGUUUAUUAUUCACGAUCUUCUAAAAUGUCAGUAUUAUAAAAUUAAACUUGCUUCGUAAAUGACACUGAUGUGUCAGAUCGGAAAUAAACGUGAUUUGCAAGAAAUAAUUUAUUGUAAAGAUUUUAAAAAGGAAUUGACAAUUUAAAUAAUAAACUUUGAAUGUCGUUUCUUUGUUUUCAGGUGAGGUUAAUAGUUUUAAGUUGAACAGUGAAAUUACAUUGUAUAUUAGUGCUAAUUAACAAAAUAAAUAAAAUCUUUGUUUUCAGAGCAACACAA